AGGUCUGGGUCUAGACCACCCUGAACAAUAGGAAAUAUAGUUUGAUCAUCAUUCCGGGAAUGAGCUCCCAAGCAGCGAUCCAGCCACCUUGUUGUCCUAUCAAGAAAAAACUUGGGUGACUAGAUUGUGCCCUUCGGGCUCUAGAUCUCUACCGAUGCAUUGCUUCUUCAACUCGCGGACCAGUAGUCGUGGAAUGGACAACGUCAUCAAGCUGCAUCAUGAUAUCAGCCCCAAUUGCGUUCUGAAUCUCAGUAGAGUGCUCUGGGGACGGCUUACCAUCAUAAGGCGAUUUGAAAUUCACACCAUCUUCUGUUAUUUCUGCAAGUUCUAGUAAUGACACCAUUUGAAACCCGCCUGAAUCUGUGAGAAGAGCUCGUGGCCAAUUCAUGAAUUUAUGGAGACCGCCGGCCUUCUUCAGAAUUUCAACACCCUGCAAAGCACAAAAUUCAAAAUUAUAUUAGCGAUCAAAGAGAGAGCAGAUCAGGCGGUGAGAGAUAAAAGAUUUACUCACAGGUUUUGUUCCCAAGUGAUAUGUAUUUCCAAGAAUAAUUUGACAGUUCAGUGCUUCAAGUUGUUGCGGUAGUAGACCCUUAAUUGUACCCUGGGCGAAAAUAAUAUCACAUGUUAAUGGUUGAAAGACAUAUUUAUUCAAAAGCUAUGUGACCAAAUAAAUUGUCCUUGUUUA
Long non-coding RNA from Frankliniella occidentalis (western flower thrips), 685 nucleotides. RefSeq lists it as uncharacterized. The record is from RefSeq and is a predicted model, not a curated record. NCBI's taxonomy places the organism in Eukaryota, Metazoa, Arthropoda, Insecta, Thysanoptera, Thripidae. The transcript is spliced from 3 exons.